AUAAAUCGUUAGGUGAGGUUACUAUAUAGAUAUAUGCUACUGCCCAGAAAUGUCGAGAGACGCCAACGGGUUAGCAGGUAUUGUCGAUUUAAGGCUCUACUUAAUGUAGCUGACAGUUUUUAAAACUAUGUCAAAGCUAUUUAGUGCUAAAGCUCAACGAAUGAAG
This 166-nucleotide small RNA is filed under the name Clostridium amazonitimonense. RNAcentral describes it as "M-box riboswitch (ykoK leader)". It matches the Rfam family "M-box riboswitch aptamer (ykoK leader)". Rfam says of the family: M-box riboswitch, also know as ykoK leader is described as a metaloregulatory RNA that sense divalent metals and function as a genetic control element of genes related to divalent metal transport in bacteria. It was first reported upstream of the B.subtilis ykoK gene and genes with related functions in other bacteria. Lineage: Bacteria; Bacillati; Bacillota; Clostridia; Eubacteriales; Clostridiaceae. The record is from RNAcentral.